AAAAUGAAAAGAAAAAANAAUGCAAAAUGCCAAAUAUGCUUGCGCUCCACUUUCUUCAAAUUUGCAAAAUCAAAAAACAAUUCAUGCUCCACUUUCUUCAACAGUUCAACUGUUGAUUUAGAUGCAAAAUAAAAAAUACUUUGCUGCACCGCUCAUUGUCACAAUCUCUGUUUCAUGUUCCAAGUUUGUAGCGACACAUUCGCGAAGCCGCAAGUGAAGCAGGAGUUCAACACAGAUCUGACCAAUGCCAGGUGAUGCGCUCUGCCGUGAUACCAUCAGAAAUCAAGACGAGAUGAGAGUGUUGUUGCAACAAUGAUCGAUGAUGACGAGGAAGAAUUGGAAUGGAGCAGAAUUUGACCAGAAAACAAAUGUAAAAUAACAAAUUAAGCAAACAAAACUCCAAACAUAGAAAAUCAAAUUAGAAAACCUAAAUUUUCCGUCGGAUUUGGCAGAUGGCGGAGGACAGAGAUGAGGAACGGCGGUGAGUAGAGCAGAGAUCUACGUCAUCGGCGCCGCUGCCCCGCAGCCGCUGGAGAGAGAGAGAGCUCCGGUGACUUCUGCAAACCACGAGAUCUACGUCCUCGGCGCCGCUUCCGUGCAGCCGUUAGAGAGAGAGAGCUCCGAUGACUUCCGCUCGGCACCGCAGGAGGCGGUGCUAGGGCACACCGCGACGGCUUGCUUCACAACACACAGCAGGGAAGAAGAUCAACGGUUGGGGGAGAUCGACGGCGGAGUUCUGGCCGUCCGUCGCAGGAGAGAGAGAUAGAGAGAGAAAGAGAGAGGAUCGAAGGUGAAUCCGUGAAGGUGCUGCUGUGACUUUGACCGGCCAUUUUUUUUUAAUUUUAAAGGGGUAAUUUUGUCCAUUUACAACAAAAUUUACCAAUUUUUAAUAUUUUUAUUUCAUAGG
This 907-nucleotide long non-coding RNA is filed under the name Salvia miltiorrhiza (redroot sage). RNAcentral describes it as "long non-coding RNA (SMIL_LNC002994)". The record is from RNAcentral. Lineage: Eukaryota; Viridiplantae; Streptophyta; Magnoliopsida; Lamiales; Lamiaceae.